GAUGAAGAACGUAGCGAAAUGCGAUAAGUAAUGUGAAUUGCAGAAUUCAGUGAAUCAUCGAAUCUUUGAAUGCACAUUGCGCCCCUUGGUAUUCCAUGGGGCAUGCCUGUUCGAGCGUCAUUUGUACCUUCAAGCCUUGCUUGGUGUUGGGUGUUUGUCUCGCCUCUGCGCGCAGACUCGCCUCAAAACAAUUGGCAGCCGGCGUAUUGAUUUCGGAGCGCAGUACAUCUCGCGCUUUGCACUCAGAACGACGACGUCCAAAAGUACAUUUUUACACUCUUGACCUCGGAUCAGGUAGGGAUACCCGCUGAACUUAAGCAUAUCAAUAAGCGGAGGA
This 337-nucleotide unclassified non-coding RNA is filed under the name soil metagenome. RNAcentral describes it as "partial contains 5.8S ribosomal RNA, internal transcribed spacer 2, and large subunit ribosomal RNA". The stretch from base 1 to 120 matches the Rfam family "5.8S ribosomal RNA", at positions 35 to 154 of the family's 154-position model. The record is from RNAcentral.